UUCUUGCUUAAGAGAAUUCAUCUCUUGACGCAAGUCAGACAUCGAGGGCUCAGCAGGUUUAUCAAACCUAUUGAAAACUUGUUUCAUACUAAAAGGUUCUAUGGCCGUUGACGAAGAAGGUUUCUUUUGGUCAGAACCCAGGAUAAUUUUCUUGAGUUCAAUCAAAUACUUGGCACGAGAUUCAUCAUCCAUCAUGAAGGACUUGAGAAGUAAGGGAUUCCUUCUCGAUUUUGUCUAGACGAGAUUUUAACUGUCUAACUUCUUCAUUAAGAGAAUUUAUCUCUUGACGCAAGUCAGACAUCGAGGGCUCAGCAGGUUUAUCAAACCUAUUGAAAACUUGUUUCAUACUAAAAGGUUCUAUGGCCGUUGACGAAGAAGGUUUCUUUUGGUCAGAACCCAGGAUAAUUUUCUUGAGUUCAAUCAAAUACUUGGCACGAGAUUCAUCAUCCUUGAUGUGAUCAAUAAUAUCAAAAAGGACUUCCUUGGAGUCCGAUGUGAUCAU
This 502-nucleotide long non-coding RNA is filed under the name Nicotiana benthamiana. RNAcentral's name for it is "long non-coding RNA (NBEN_LNC008901)". Lineage: Eukaryota; Viridiplantae; Streptophyta; Magnoliopsida; Solanales; Solanaceae. The record is from RNAcentral.